UACAGAGGUCCCAAGCGUUGUUCGGAUUCAUUGGGCGUAAAGGGUGCGUAGGUGGCGCUGUAAGUCGGGUGUGAAAUUUCGGAGCUUAACUCCGAAACUGCAUUCGAUACUGCCGUGCUUGAGGACUAGAGAGGAGACUGGAAUUUACGGUGUAGCAGUGAAAUGCGUAGAGAUCGUAAGGAAGACCAGUGGCGAAGGCGGGUCUCUGGACAGUUCCUGACGCUGAGGCACGAAGGCCAGGGGAGCAAACGGG
This 253-nucleotide ribosomal RNA is filed under the name uncultured bacterium. RNAcentral describes it as "partial 16S ribosomal RNA". It matches the Rfam family "Bacterial small subunit ribosomal RNA", at positions 524 to 776 of the family's 1533-position model. The record is from RNAcentral.